GGGCCCGCACAAGCGGUGGAGUAUGUGGUUUAAUUCGAUGCAACGCGAAGAACCUUACCAGGGUUUGACAUCCUGCGAAUCUCUUGGAAACAGGAGAGUGCCUUCGGGAACGCAGUGACAGGUGGUGCAUGGCUGUCGUCAGCUCGUGUCGUGAGAUGUUGGGUUAAGUCCCGCAACGAGCGCAACCCACGUCUUUAGUUGCCAGCAUUUAGUUGGGCACUCUAGAAAGACCGCCGGUGAUAAACCGGAGGAAGGUGUGGAUGACGUCAAGUCAUCAUGCCCCCUUACACCCUGGGCUACACACGUACUACAAUGCUACGGACAAAGGGCAGCAAACUCGCGAGAGCUAGCAAAUCCCAUAAACCGUGGCUCAGUUCAGAUCGUAGGCUGCAACUCGCCUACGUGAAGUAGGAAUCGCUAGUAAUCGCAGGUC
Molecule: ribosomal RNA, 433 nt
Filed under: uncultured bacterium
Lineage: Bacteria
Description: bacterial SSU rRNA
Rfam family: Bacterial small subunit ribosomal RNA
Source: RNAcentral